Trematomus bernacchii (emerald rockcod) is the source of this 731-nucleotide long non-coding RNA. RefSeq lists it as uncharacterized. The record is from RefSeq and is a predicted model, not a curated record. NCBI's taxonomy places the organism in Eukaryota, Metazoa, Chordata, Actinopteri, Perciformes, Nototheniidae. The transcript has 4 exons.
ACGAGAACCACCAGGAAAACUCCCUGCAAAUCCUGCACCGACUGCGCUAACGGAGAGAAGUUGAACGAAGAUAACAAAACAGAGGAGGUUGCAGCUUAUGGGAUGGCAAUGUAAGCUCUGCACAUGUGUGGCUUCAGCGAAAGGGUCACUUCUCAAGCACUAUCGAUUGAAGCACGGUACCUUUGGAAUCUGGGAGAAGAUGCGAGUGCCUUGAUCAAGGACUUUGAGGAUGCUGCUGAUGCACCUGUCAGUGUACAAGAGGAGUUGGCAGAGGAGGUGAUGAAGAUGUACCUGCUGCAGAACCAAGAUGGGUCAGUCGAUGAACCUACUGAUGUAGGGAUUGUGAUUGAGGGCAUCCCUGUCCUCAGAAGUCUUAGGGAUCUUAGCAGAGCCUGCUGCUAUCUGUUGGGACUAACCUAUGCCUUGGAUCUGAGAUACCCCAAGAAUCUCAAAUAUAGUUUUGAGGUAUUCCAAAAACUACUGUUGGAGCUGGAUCCUGGCAACCUUUCAACCAAGGUUCAGAGACUGAAAAAUUGCCUGCAUAUGUAGUUGCCGACUACUGUUCAGCAAGAUGCUAAAAGGUACGAGUUGAGAGUUCCAUUGAUUGAAUUGCAUUUUGGACUGGUAUUGUUGUAAAGUGUCACUGUUCUUGGUGCAUUUCAGUCAUAUGCAGAGUUCAGUUCAGCCCGUUGCUCCCAUAGCUCAAUGGAAAUGUUCACAUGCUCAUUGGC